GGGCGAGUGGUGGAACUGGCAGACACGCAUGGCUUAGGACCAUGUGCCGUAAGGCUUGGAGGUUCAAAUCCUCUCUCGCCCA
Molecule: transfer RNA, 82 nt
Filed under: Candidatus Margulisiibacteriota bacterium
Lineage: Bacteria; Bacillati; Candidatus Margulisiibacteriota
Description: tRNA-Leu
Rfam family: tRNA
About the family: Transfer RNA (tRNA) molecules are approximately 80 nucleotides in length.
Source: RNAcentral